CCAUAGUGUGCUCUGGAAACUGUNUGACUUGAGUGCAGAAGGGGAGAGUGGAAUUCCAUGUGUAGCGGUGAAAUGNGUAGAUAUAUGGAGGAACACCAGUGGCGAAAGCGGCUCUCUGNUCUGUCACUGACGCUGAGGCUCGAAAGCGUGGGUAGCGAACAGGAUUAGAUACCCUGGUAGUCCACGCCGUAAACGAUGAGUGCUAGGUGUUAGGCCCUUUUCCGGGGCUUAGUGCCGGAGCUAACGCAAUAAGCACUCCGCCUGGGGAGUACGACCGCAAGGUUGAAACUCAAAGGAAUUGACGGGGGCCCGCACAAGCGGUGGAGCAUGUGGUUUAAUUCGAAGCAACGCGAAGAACCUUACCAGGUCUUGACAUCCCGAUGCUAUUCUUAGAGAUAGGAAGUUACUUCGGUACAUCGGAGACAGGUGGUGCAUGGUUGUCGUCAGCUCGUGUCGUGAGAUGUUGGGUUAAGUCCCGCAACGAGCGCAACCCUUAUUGUUAGUUGCCAUCAUUAAGUUGGGCACUCUAGCGAGACUGCCGGUAAUAAACCGGAGGAAGGCGGGGAUGACGUCAAAUCAUCAUGCCCCUUAUGACCUGGGCUACACACGUGCUACAAUGGUCGGUACAACGAGUUGCGAGCCGGUGACGGCAAGCUAAUCUCUGAAAGCCGAUCUCAGUUCGGAUUGGAGGCUGCAACUCGCCUCCAUGAAGUCGGAAUCGCUAGUAAUCGCGGAUCAGCACGCCGCGGUGAAUACGUUCCCGGGCCUUGUACACACCGCCCGUCACACCACGAGAGUUUGUANCACCCGAAGUCGG
Molecule: ribosomal RNA, 817 nt
Filed under: uncultured bacterium
Lineage: Bacteria
Description: bacterial SSU rRNA
Rfam family: Bacterial small subunit ribosomal RNA
Source: RNAcentral